Non-coding RNA from Potamilus streckersoni, 75 nucleotides. Lineage: Eukaryota; Metazoa; Mollusca; Bivalvia; Unionida; Unionidae. The record is from the annotation of a GenBank genome assembly.
UCCCCGGUAGCUCAGUGGUAGAGCAACCGGCUGUUAACCGGUUGGUCGCAAGUUCGAGUCUUGCUCGGGAGCCAU